UGCUCAGAACUGGACCCAGGACUCCAGCUGAGGCCUCACCAGAGCCGAGUAGAGCCGGACAAUCACUUUCCGUGUCUUACAUCUGACACAUGCGUUGCUGCAGCUCAGACUGAUACUAACCUUUUUCACAGCUGCAUCACAUUGCUGACUCAUGUUCAGUUUGCACUUCUCUGUAAGCCCUAGAUCCUUUUCAGCAGGACGACGGCCCAGCCAGUUAUUCCCCACUUUGUAGUUGGUCUCGCUCGCUUGAGAAGAGAGUCAGUGUUCCCUUGGUGUUGGACAGCUGAGAAAUGACUCGUCCUUCCUGGUAUUGCCGAUGUCCGGUGAAGUGUUCUAUGUAGAUGUCCCUUGACCACCUGAUGGCGUCCGACACCAUGAAUUGCCGCAUCAGCCAAGUGUAGCGCUGACCCCUUCUGGGUUCAUUGAAUACUAGCUUGUUACUGGGGUC
Molecule: long non-coding RNA, 448 nt
Organism: Gopherus evgoodei (Goodes thornscrub tortoise)
Lineage: Eukaryota; Metazoa; Chordata; Testudines; Testudinidae
Exons: 2
Source: RefSeq, a predicted model, not a curated record